Molecule: unclassified non-coding RNA, 725 nt
Filed under: Hevea brasiliensis (rubber tree)
Lineage: Eukaryota; Viridiplantae; Streptophyta; Magnoliopsida; Malpighiales; Euphorbiaceae
Source: RNAcentral
CGGCUGCCAAAUAACAAAAAUCUUCUCUCGUUUAGCUGCUGAAAGUGAAACAGUCCCUAUAUAUAAUGGAUUUGGAUCCCCUUUUCUGUUAGCAUCUCUAGGUGGCCUUCCCUCCUUAAUUCCCUCUAACAGAGUAACACUCAUGCUAACCAUUUCCAGCUCUUCCCCUGUUUUGUUACUGCUGCCAGUGUCCCUUCUCCAGAGCCUUCCAUCCUCUUUAUGUAAUCUUCUUUCAUCCUUCCGCCAGCUCUUCUAAUUCUUUUAGUAUAAACCCACAUUGUACCCAGGUUUUAUCCAUUUCCUGCUAGCCCAUAGAUUGAUCACGAUCCUUAACAAACACCUCACAAAAAUUCAGUGGAGAUCUGCUUGAAUAUUCCCUGUAAGGACAUUCAACAUUCACGGACCAAGCAUUGAUCGAAUGUUGAAAUCUACCUUCUCUUAUCUGCUAAAGUUGCUGCAUUAUACACUGAUUGAAGCUUCUCCACUUUCGGUGGACUUGGUAUCCAUCUCUUGUGUCCUAAAUAAGCAUCCUCCAAUUUUGUUACAACCCCUUAAGGCUUGAGCACCAGUGCCAAAGCAUUUUUUGUCAAAAUUUCUUCAAUUUUCUAGCAGCAGGGAGGUGUAUUACCAGCUGAAAAUGAGUUUGACUUAGAUGGGUAUCCUCUACAUAAUAUUGUUGUGUAGUGGUUCUCUCAGCUGUUUGAGUUUCUGAUUGUACUACCUUC